RNAcentral lists this ribosomal RNA (464 nucleotides) under uncultured bacterium. RNAcentral describes it as "partial 16S ribosomal RNA". It matches the Rfam family "Bacterial small subunit ribosomal RNA", at positions 29 to 507 of the family's 1533-position model. The record is from RNAcentral.
ACGCACGCUGGCGGCGUGCUUAACCCAUGCACGUCGAACGGUAAGGCUCCAGCUUGCUGGGGUACACGAGUGGCGAACGGGUGAGUAACACGUGGGUGACCUGCCCUGCACUUCGGGAUAAGCCUGGGAAACUGGGUCUAAUACCGGAUAGGACCGCACCGUGAGGGUGUGGUGGAAAGUUUUUUCGGUGUGGGAUGGGCCCGCGGCCUAUCAGCUUGUUGGUGGGGUAAUGGCCUACCAAGGCGGCGACGGGUAGCCGGCCUGAGAGGGUGGACGGCCACAUUGGGACUGAGACACGGCCCAGACUCCUACGGGAGGCAGCAGUGGGGAAUAUUGCACAAUGGGCGGAAGCCUGAUGCAGCGACGCCGCGUGGGGGAUGACGGCCUUCGGGUUGUAAACUCCUUUCACCAUCGACGAAGGGUUUCUGACGGUAGAUGGAGAAGAAGCACCGGCUAACUACGUG